RNAcentral lists this non-coding RNA (25 nucleotides) under Gossypium hirsutum (cotton). Lineage: Eukaryota; Viridiplantae; Streptophyta; Magnoliopsida; Malvales; Malvaceae. The record is from RNAcentral.
UAGUUGACCCUAGUCGGGAAGUGGU